GGUGUUUCCCCGCUUUCGUCGACUUCACUUUGCUAGAACGGGAGGAGUUCUGCAGGAAGUAGCUCAGCUUCUUCUUCCAGUCCUUAAUGAUGGUGCGCUUCAUCAUCCUGCCCUUGUCCGCCUCCUCCAGCUCCGCACGCCGCCGGCUGCCCCGCUCCAUCCGCCCGCCGUCCUGCGGCAGCGCCACGAGCACCGCGCUCUGCAU
This 205-nucleotide long non-coding RNA is filed under the name Gallus gallus (chicken). The record is from RNAcentral. Lineage: Eukaryota; Metazoa; Chordata; Aves; Galliformes; Phasianidae.